UGGGAACGUACCUCUUGGUUCGGAACAACACAGGGAAACUUGUGCUAAUACCGAAUAAGCCCUUCGGGGGAAAGAUUUAUCGCCAUUGGAUGGGCCCGCGUCGGAUUAGCUAGUUGGUGGGGUAACGGCCCACCAAGGCGACGAUCCGUAGCUGGUCUGAGAGGAUGAUCAGCCACACUGGGACUGAGACACGGCCCAGACUCCUACGGGAGGCAG
This 216-nucleotide ribosomal RNA is filed under the name uncultured bacterium. Its description in RNAcentral is "partial 16S ribosomal RNA". It matches the Rfam family "Bacterial small subunit ribosomal RNA", at positions 118 to 351 of the family's 1533-position model. The record is from RNAcentral.